AAGUCGUAACAAGGUAACCGUAGGUGAACCUGCGGUUGGAUCAUUAACAAAUUGAUUGAGGAGAGUUUUUUAAAACUCUCUUCUUUUACCCCUUGUGGAUUGUUUAACAGAGAUUUUGGGUGCCUUUGGGCAUCCCUAGUCAACCAAUUAGAACCUUGUAGAAAAACUUGUCUAUAAAAAAAAAAGUUUAAUUAAAAAACAACUUUUGACAACGGAUCUCUAGGCUCUC
This 229-nucleotide unclassified non-coding RNA is filed under the name fungal sp. RNAcentral describes it as "partial contains small subunit ribosomal RNA, internal transcribed spacer 1, and 5.8S ribosomal RNA". The stretch from base 1 to 46 matches the Rfam family "Eukaryotic small subunit ribosomal RNA", at positions 1786 to 1831 of the family's 1831-position model. Lineage: Eukaryota; Fungi. The record is from RNAcentral.